RNAcentral lists this ribosomal RNA (515 nucleotides) under uncultured bacterium. Its description in RNAcentral is "partial 16S ribosomal RNA". It matches the Rfam family "Bacterial small subunit ribosomal RNA", at positions 28 to 523 of the family's 1533-position model. The record is from RNAcentral.
GAUGAACGCUGGCGGCGUGCCUAAUACAUGCAAGUCGAGCGAAUGGAUUAAGAGCUUGCUCUUAUGAAGUUAGCGGCGGACGGGUGAGUAACACGUGGGUAACCUGCCCAUAAGACUGGGAUAACUCCGGGAAACCGGGGCUAAUACCGGAUAACAUUUUGAACCGCAUGGUUCGAAAUUGAAAGGCGGCUUCGGCUGUUACUUAUGGAUGGACCCGCGUCGCAUUAGCCAGUUGGUGAGGUAACGGCGUACCAAGGCAACGAUGCGUAGCCGACCUGAGAGGGUGAUCGGCCACACUGGGACUGAGACACGGCCCAGACUCCUACGGGAGGCAGCAGUAGGGAAUCUUCCGCAAUGGACGAAAGUCUGACGGAGCAACGCCGCGUGAGUGAUGAAGGCUUUCGGGUCGUAAAACUCUGUUGUUAGGGAAGAACAAGUGCUAGUUGAAUAAGCUGGCACCUUGACGGUACCUAACCAGAAAGCCACGGCUAACUACGUGCCAGCCGCCGCGGUAA